Molecule: ribosomal RNA, 751 nt
Filed under: Yersinia ruckeri
Lineage: Bacteria; Pseudomonadati; Pseudomonadota; Gammaproteobacteria; Enterobacterales; Yersiniaceae
Description: partial 23S ribosomal RNA
Rfam family: Bacterial large subunit ribosomal RNA
Source: RNAcentral
GUGGAGCCAACCUUGAAAUACCACCCUUUAAUGUUUGAUGUUCUAACUCGGCCCCAUAAUCUGGGGUGAGGACAGUGUCUGGUGGGUAGUUUGACUGGGGCGGUCUCCUCCCAAAGAGUAACGGAGGAGCACGAAGGUUAGCUAAUCACGGUCGGACAUCGUGAGGUUAGUGCAAAGGCAUAAGCUAGCUUGACUGCGAGAGUGACGGCUCGAGCAGGUACGAAAGUAGGUCUUAGUGAUCCGGUGGUUCUGAAUGGAAGGGCCAUCGCUCAACGGAUAAAAGGUACUCCGGGGAUAACAGGCUGAUACCGCCCAAGAGUUCAUAUCGACGGCGGUGUUUGGCACCUCGAUGUCGGCUCAUCACAUCCUGGGGCUGAAGUAGGUCCCAAGGGUAUGGCUGUUCGCCAUUUAAAGUGGUACGCGAGCUGGGUUUAGAACGUCGUGAGACAGUUCGGUCCCUAUCUGCCGUGGGCGUUGGAAGAUUGAGAGGGGCUGCUCCUAGUACGAGAGGACCGGAGUGGACGCAUCACUGGUGUUCGGGUUGUCAUGCCAAUGGCAUUGCCCGGUAGCUAAAUGCGGAAAAGAUAAGCGCUGAAAGCAUCUAAGCGCGAAACUUGCCUCGAGAUGAGUCUUCCCUGGGGCUUUAAGCCCCCUGAAGGAACGUUAAAGACUAUGACGUUGAUAGGCUGGGUGUGUAAGUGCAGCGAUGCAUUGAGCUAACCAGUACUAAUGAUCCGUGAGGCUUAACCUU